Molecule: non-coding RNA, 95 nt
Organism: Mycena rebaudengoi
Lineage: Eukaryota; Fungi; Basidiomycota; Agaricomycetes; Agaricales; Mycenaceae
Source: the annotation of a GenBank genome assembly
GACCCAGUAGUAUAACGGUUACUACACUUGUACUAUUUAUGGAGCAGGGACGUAGUCUUCUGCAAGAGAUCCCUGUUCGACUCGGGGCUGGGUCA